RNAcentral lists this ribosomal RNA (354 nucleotides) under Cotesia sp. HD-032. RNAcentral describes it as "partial 28S ribosomal RNA". The record is from RNAcentral. Lineage: Eukaryota; Metazoa; Arthropoda; Insecta; Hymenoptera; Braconidae.
CGAAUGAGGAGAUUCAUCGUCAGCUUAUUCAGUAUUAAUCCAGGCUAUGAUGUGAUAAUAGAACCCUUGUGGCCACUAGAUUAUACUUGCUUGUAUUAUUUUUGCUGGGUAUGUCGGCGUGCACUUCACCUCUAGUAGAACGUCGCAACCCGUUGGAUGUUUAUCUAUGGCUUGAAUGGUAGCCUUUGAUAUUUUUUAUAUUGAAGACCUUCGAUGUCCUGAUAAACUGUUUGACGGUAUACAUAUGGUAUUGAGCCGCGAAUUAUUUGCGUUAGACUUGCCGCAAGUAUGACUUUAUUCUAGUAGUGCGGAUCUAAUGCCGUCGCUGGACAAAGUCUGCUGUUAGCUGUGUAA